RNAcentral lists this ribosomal RNA (776 nucleotides) under uncultured Neocallimastigales. RNAcentral describes it as "partial large subunit ribosomal RNA". It matches the Rfam family "Eukaryotic large subunit ribosomal RNA", at positions 23 to 626 of the family's 3401-position model. Lineage: Eukaryota; Fungi; Neocallimastigomycota; Neocallimastigomycetes; Neocallimastigales. The record is from RNAcentral.
AGAGAGAGACAUGCGCGCAUAUCAAUAAGCGGAGGAAAAGAAACUAACAAGGAUUCCCUUAGUAACGGCGAGUGAAGCGGGAAGAGCUCAAAUUUGAAAUCUUCGAAGGUUUUACCUUGACGAAUUGUAGUUUAAAGAAGUGUUUUCUGCUGAAGUUUUGGUAAAAGUUCUUUGGAAUAGGACAUCAUAGAGGGUGAGAAUCCCGUAUUUGACCAUUAUUUUCAGCUUUGUGAUACACUUUCAAAGAGUCGGAUUGUUUGGGAAUGCAGUCCAAAAUGGGUGGUAAAUUUCAUCUAAAGCUAAAUAUUGGCGAGAGACCGAUAGCGAACAAGUACCGUGAGGGAAAGAUGAAAAGAACUUUGAAAAGAGAGUUAAACAGUACGUGAAAUUGUCAAAAGGGAAGCGUUUGACACCAGUGUUGUUUUCUCGAAAAUCAAUUAAAAAUGGCUCGAUUUUGUAUUGCUUGAGACCUUAAAAGCUCACUGUACAUUUUUCGUGUCUUUUUUAAUGCACUUUUCGUUUAACAAGUCAACAUCAGUUUCUUUUGUUGUAAAAGGGUCAUUGGAAGGUGGCUUUCUUUUCGGAGAAAGUGUUUAUAGCCUGUGGCCUCUGCAAUCGGAGAGACUGAGGUCUGCAGCGUAGACUCUUCGGGGUUAGAUACAUUUGUGCUAAGUUAUAGCUUUUUAUAGACAACUUGUUGACUAUAAUUAGUCUUGUAGCUUACUCGCUUAUGCUAUUUUACCUACGCUUAGGAUGUUGAGUCGUAGAGCACGCAG